AGUGAACGCUGGCGGCAGGCCUAACACAUGCAAGUCGAGCGGAUGAAGAGAGCUUGCUCCUGGAUUCAGCUGCGGACGGGUGAGUAAUGCCUAGGAAUCUGCCUGUUAGUGUUGGAUAACGUCCUGAAACGGGCGCUAAUACCGCAUACGUCCUGAGGGCGAAAGUGUGGGAGCUUCGGACCUCACGCUAUCAGAUGAGCCUAGGUCGGAUUAGCUAGUUGGUGGGUUAAAGGCCUACCAAGGCGACGAUCCGUAACUGGUCUGAGAGGAUGAUCAGUCACACUGGAACUGAGACACGGUCCAGACUCCUACGGGAGGCAGCAGUGGGGAAUAUUGGACAAUGGGCGAAAGCCUGAUCCAGCCAUGCCGCGUGUGUGAAGAAGGUCUUCGGAUUGUAAAGCACUUUAAGUUGGGAGGAAGGGCAGUAAGUUAAUACCUUGCUGUUUUGACGUUACCAAAAGAAUAAGCACCGGCUAACUUCGUG
This 484-nucleotide ribosomal RNA is filed under the name uncultured bacterium. RNAcentral describes it as "partial 16S ribosomal RNA". It matches the Rfam family "Bacterial small subunit ribosomal RNA", at positions 29 to 507 of the family's 1533-position model. The record is from RNAcentral.